RNAcentral lists this ribosomal RNA (494 nucleotides) under uncultured bacterium. RNAcentral's name for it is "partial 16S ribosomal RNA". It matches the Rfam family "Bacterial small subunit ribosomal RNA", at positions 28 to 507 of the family's 1533-position model. The record is from RNAcentral.
GACGAACGCUGGCGGCGUGCUUAACACAUGCAAGUCGAACGGAAAGGCCUGCUUUCCCUUGUGGAUUGCGGGUACUCGAGUGGCGAACGGGUGGGUAACACGUGAGUGAUCUGCCCCCAACUUGGGUAUAAGCCUGGGAAACUGGGUCUAAUUCCCGAUAGGACUGCAGGGUGGUGCCUGUGGUGGAAAACGAUUUUCUAGUGGUUGGGGAUGAGCUCGCGGCCUAUCAGCUUGUUGGUGGGGUAAUGGCCUACCAAGGCGGCGACGGGUAGCCGGCCUGGGAGGGUGGACGGCCACAUUGGGACUGAGAUACGGCCCAGACUCCUACGGGAGGCAGCAGUGGGGAAUAUUGCACAAUGGGCGGAAGCCUGAUGCAGCGACGCCGCGUGGGGGAUGACGGCCUUCGGGUUGUAAACUCCUUUCGGCCGCGAGGAAGCCACCUGGUUGGAAGGGUGGUGACGGUAGUGGUAGAAGAAGCACCGGCUAACUACGUG